RNAcentral lists this ribosomal RNA (285 nucleotides) under Enterobacter hormaechei subsp. xiangfangensis. RNAcentral describes it as "partial 23S ribosomal RNA". It matches the Rfam family "Bacterial large subunit ribosomal RNA", at positions 1 to 238 of the family's 2925-position model. Lineage: Bacteria; Pseudomonadati; Pseudomonadota; Gammaproteobacteria; Enterobacterales; Enterobacteriaceae. The record is from RNAcentral.
GGUUAAGCGACUAAGCGUACACGGUGGAUGCCCUGGCAGUCAGAGGCGAUGAAGGACGUGCUAAUCUGCGAAAAGCGACGGCGAGGUGAUAUGAACCUUUGACCCGUCGAUGUCCGAAUGGGGAAACCCAGUGUGUUAAAGGGUCAUUCUGAGAAUGAAGAUUCCGACGUUACUAACUGAGUGUUGUAUCUAAUCGUGGGGGCAGGUCAUGCCCAUUGUACUUGUUGACUGGUCUGAUAUUCGUGAGCAAAAACGACUUAUGGUAUUGCGAGCUUCAGUCGCACU